CUACGGGCGGCUGCAGUGGGGAAUAUUGGACAAUGGGGGAAACCCUGAUCCAGCAAUGCCGCGUGUGUGAAGAAGGCCUGCGGGUUGUAAAGCACUUUCGGUUGGGAGGACUGCUUCUAGCACUAAUAUUGUCGGAAGUUGACGUUACCUUCAGAAGAAGCACCGGCUAACUCCGUGCCAGCAGCGGCGGUAAUACGGAGGGUGCAAGCGUUAAUCGGAAUUACUGGGCGUAAAGCGCGCGUAGGCGGCUAGAUCAGUCGGGUGUGAAAGCCCCGGGCUUAACCUGGGAACUGCAUCCGAUACCGUCUAGCUUGAGUACAGGAGAGGAGAGUGGAAUUCCACAUGUAGCGGUGAAAUGCGUAGAUAUGUGGAGGAACACCAAUGGCGAAGGCAGCUCUCUGGCCUGAUACUGACGCUGAGGUGCGAAAGCGUGGGGAGCAAACAGGAUUAGAUACCCUCGUAGUC
RNAcentral lists this ribosomal RNA (465 nucleotides) under uncultured bacterium. Its description in RNAcentral is "partial 16S ribosomal RNA". It matches the Rfam family "Bacterial small subunit ribosomal RNA", at positions 339 to 795 of the family's 1533-position model. The record is from RNAcentral.